CGCGCCCCCUUCCCUUCCCCAUGCUGACCUAAACCCGCGUCUCCCCCGCGACCCUCGCUUCCUCUCCUGCCGCCGCCGCCGCGCCCCCCUUCUCGCCUUCCCCAUGCUCGCAACCACGACCAUGUCGCUACCGACGCCGCGUCCGCCGCUCCCCCGCCUCGAACCAGCCGCCACCAUGGAGCCUCCGCUCUUCCGCCUCAUCCCUCCGCCCAUGCUCUCGCACCUCGCGUGCGGCCGCCGCCUUUUGUCCACAACCCUCCCUUCUCGGUCUGCUCGGCCACCAAGCGGCGGCGGAGCGGGUUGAUAGAGAUGGCGAGGGUGAGUACAUGGCCAGAUGAGGGAGGAAGACAAAUGACGGGUGGAUCGGGUGCUCGAGGAGAGGAGGAAUUCGCCCCUGGGCCCAUGCCGCCGGCCUCCUCGUGCUGCUCGCAUCUCCCUCAUCGUCCCCGUCACCAUCUACCACUCCUCUCCCGUGCCCAGACCGCGGGAAGAAGCCGAGAAGGGAGGCCGGCCGGCGGCGGCCACGCUCGACAAGAUCCUCGCAUUGGCGUCAAGGGAGAGGAGGUCUACGUCCCCCGCCCGUGUGCUUCUUCUCGGGACGCCGAUGCCACGGAGCUCGUCAAGGAGGAUUGGAUUGGAUUGGUUUCUACUUCUAUUCUCUGUUUGAGAACCUGAGAUGCAGCCCUCCAAAUCUUAGGCCCCAGAAGGAGGAUUUGAGAGUGGAGAGCCUGAAUGUGAUUUGGUGGAAGGAGUUGUCCAAGAAUCAAAUUGUUAUUAUUUUACUGUUCUGCAAGAGAGAAUCUAAAGAUUAUUUGUUUCUUUUUAUGCUUGCAAAUCGUGUUUGCUGUUCGGGAUUCACACCCUGCAUUGAUAAGGUCUGAAUUUAACAUCCACUUUUAACACAUUUUGUCUUAGAUAUAAAUGCCUAUGCCUCACGUCAUAGAAAUUUGUAACUGAAUUUCAUGGAUCUGGUUUUGAUAGAUCAUCUAUGAAUGCUUUUGGUAUUACAAUCAAAUGUGAUUGAAUUUUGUAACUAUCUGUUCAAAUGCUCCCAAGAGGGUUAGGUGCUGGAUGAUGCUAUUUAUGAACAUUAUGCUCUCCACUGAGUUUACAGAUUCUAUAAGAGGAGAUAAAGAUCAGUUUGUCUUCUCAUCUUCUUUCUAAAUGGUGUAUAUUCGGUGAAAUAUUAUCUUGGAAGGCCCCGUUGCAAGCUUCUUUCUCCAUUUACCAGCUUUAACUGUCCAUGAGAGGUGAGGUUGAAAUUUGGGUGACGGGUAGCGUUUUGGAAAGCUUCAGAAGAAACGAAGAGAAAUGGAAUGGGAACCGAUAUGGAUUUCUACUAUUUUUUUCAAAGGAUAUGAAUUUAACUUCACAUUUAUUAAGAAUUGCAGCUUAUUUGAGCCUGGAACUCUAACCAGAAAUGUAUCACAUACCGAUAUUCAUGUCUUUAUUUUGUAUUUUUAGGGUCAGUACACCAACUCUGUGUUCGGAAUCAAGGUUUUCAUGCAGCACAUAAUCCUCUGGAUGUCUCAAUCUGCAGUUUAUAUGCUCUAGGGAACACAGUUUUGCUCAACAAAAAUUGGUUGGUUUCAACUAUGUUUGCUUAGCCUUUUCAUUAAAACUACAACCAUAAAAUAUGCUUCAUGCAACAUUGGAAUAGGUUGAUUAUUUAUUUGUUCACUGCAUAGUACCAGCGGCUGCUAACUACAUAUUGUACAGAUUUUGCAGGGAUGUAUAUAUAUGGUGAUGUUUCACUGGGAUCCCCAAAUGUUUCAGUUCGUACUUAGCAGGAUCACCUUGAGCAACGACUCAAUUAAUAUUCUCACUGAUCCAGUUUACUGAAGAACUUGUGACCCAGUUCCAGGACUGCUAUGGACUAAGGUACUCUAGCUGCUUGCAUCUUUCAGAGGAUCUAAUUAGAACCAAUUCAAUGUGUGGUUUAUCUUCUUAGAACUAUUAGUAUUCACUCAAGCAGGAGCUGGCUUCAGUUGGAAUAAGUGUGCUAGAAAGUGUGGCCAAUAGAUUGUACGUCGGCAAAAAAUUGGUCCAUUGUGAACUAAAGGAAUGUUGUAUAGGUUGUUACAAAUCUACAAUAACCAGCUUAGCGAUUCACUAAUGACUUAUGGAAGCACACCCGAUGCCAGAGACCAGAAGAAAUUAUCAUUUUCAGAUUGGUAGUAGUCCCCCCUGAGAUUAUUGUGUGCAUUUCCAAUUGGUAGUGGUCAUUGCUUUUAAGCAGAGUAUUGUUCUGUCGAAAUUGGUGAUCUAAGCUACAAACUAAUUCUCGUGCUCGACAGCGACUCUAAUUUACUUUGGAACCCUGGUUUUUGUGUCUUGAUUUUAGGGAUGGGGUUAUGCCAAUUUAACCAGGUUCUGAACAUUCAGGUAGCUCAGACCAUGGAGGUAAACAUAAAAGGUAUUUGAUUUAUCAUGAUCCAGUUACAGGAAUGCAUGGAUUUUUUUGGCAAGCAUUAUAUAUCGUUGAAGAUUUGCCAUUUUUUCAAGUUCCUUGUAUGCUAAUCGGUAACCUUUAGUUUUGGAUGUACAAUAAGUACCUCCUGCUGAGCAAAGUGUGUGAUAUUCCAGAGUAUCUUUUUCAUGUAUAAUAAGUACUCCCUCUGUAAACUAAUAUAAGAGCGUUUAGAUCACUAAAAUAGUAAUCUAAACACUCUUAUAUUAGUUUACGGAGGGAGUACCUUCCAGCUAAGUGAAGAUGCAUCUUUUUCAGCAUGUGCAAACUAAUUUUUGGUUAUAUCUAUUUCGACGAUGUGUUUGUAUAUCUGACAGAAGUAGCUCUUUUUUGUUUAUGAAUAUGAGCUGGACCAUCCAAAAACACUUCGUUCAAAUGCAGAGAUGUUGGAUGUAGUAUCUGAUUAUCUGUUCUCCAUUUUUGCAUCCUGUAUGCAUCUCACAUUCUUUUUAUUUUUAGUGUGAUAAAAAUAUUCUUUUUUGAACAUGCUAUCACUUUGUCAUAUCAUGGAGAAACUUCUCUCUUUCUCUUAUUUGGAUACAAUGUGUUCCCUAUGGAGAAAACAUGGUGUUUUGGUCUGUUACAUCUUAUUUUUCAGGUGCCCCCAGCUAUCAGGUUUGUAUUGGAUAGAGUAAUACCACCUUAUUUACUGGCAAAGGGUCUGAUUUUACAUGUAAGCCUACAAAAUAUCCUUGGUGAUGCUAAAAUUUAUCUUUUUGUUAGGAUUUUCUCAUUGUAACUGAAAAGUCUGAUCCUUGGUCAUAUCUGUUUAGAGAUUAUUGAUGAGAUAUAUGUUGGACAGUUUCGUGCCUGCUGAUGAAACCUAAUUUAAGUAUCUUGAGGUAUUGAACUACCAUUUGAAUGUUAAUAGCAGGACUGAGGCAGUAUGUUCUAUUUCCUUUUUAGAAGUAAAAUAUCCAAGGACUCUGGAUGAAAAACAAUUACAAUCCUUAUCCACAAAUAUUUUUAUAUCAUGGUAAUUCCAACAUCAUCUGUCACCCUCUGGACUGCAGGGCGAGAUAUCGAUCAAAUAUGAACCUGUCUAUCUGCUCAGACCAGGUGAUUAAUCUCUCCUUGCUAUUUUUCUUGAGGUGUGUGCAUCUAUCUGGACAAUUUAAUGAAAAUAUAUUGCUCAUACAAACCAUCACUACAUGUUAGUUCACUUUAACCCUAAUCAGUCAAAAGGUUAUCCCUUUUGCAUUUCAUGGACAUAAAGGUUUGGUGUUGACUGUCGAUCUUUUGUUAACAUGGGACCUUAAUACCGUAGGGAGUGUUUUUUUAUAUGUUUGGCACAACUGUAUAUUCCUCUGUUCCAGAUCCAGAUCCAGCUCUGUUCGUAGUUCAUGCCUGCUAAGACAUGUUCAAUUCCUUCCGAUAUGCUUUUGAAUAUGUUUUCAGUGAUGCCAUAUAGCUAUAAAUACUUUAUUUGCAUAAGGCCAGUAGGAUAUAUGCUUUAAUGCCCUUAAUUAGUUCUGAAAUGUUUAGCAUGGUCUUUGUCAAUCUGCUUUAUCCCAUUCAAAAAAGCCACAUGGUUGACUCUUGUGCUAUGCCUAGGCUAUCUAGAAACUGUUGAUUUCUGUGUGUGUGGAUACUGUUCUCUUUCUACUUGGCUCUGUUCAUAUCUUCAUGAUAUUGUACCUUCUUUUCAUUGUUAGCUUGCUAAAGGAAUGUUAGAUUCUUGUUGCGUGUCCAUUCCAAGGCCUCCCUCGUUAUUCUUAAUGCACACUGUAUUUGUGCCUUCUACCAGCCCCCUCGGUCUAUCUUUCCAAAAACAUCCUCUUGCUGAAGUAAUGUUUCAGAAGCUCGGCCUCCCCAAACCAGUCUACCAUGUGCGGCUGCUUGAGCAGAGAGGAUAUAGAUCACAGGUUGAAUUACCGUACAAAAGAAUGUUUCCAAGCUUCAGCACGCCGGGUUAGACUGUCAAGCCCCAUAUGUGUGGAUGGGAGGACAUCAAUGAAUUCUGCAGCCGAACGAGCCAUUGAAUAUAUGCAAACCAGUGAGAGCAAGGUGUUUGUUGACUAUAACUACUACCAGCUGCAACAGCAGAAACAGGCACACGAAGGAGUAUCAGGAAGGCUGUUAGAAUAAAUAGAAGAAAUCAACCAGCGCAACCAAACUAUCAAACAGAUAACUAGAGAAGCAUCCAACUAUCUGGAAGAAGUGCAUGAUGCAUCAAACAAAAUUCAUGGUCUUGCUGCCAUUGCCUUGGACCAUGUUUCCUCAGUGUCUCUUUUUGAUUUCAGGCAGGCUAUUCUAGAGAUUCAUGAUGCAGUUGUUGCACUUCAAAACACUACAUCUACUGCACGUGUCUCACUAGAGGAAAAAGGCAUGUACUCAGACGAUGAUGUGGCAGAUCCAGUCUACAGUGGCGUUUCUGGUGAUGAAACUGAUGAAUACUAUCAUCAUGAUGACUAUGGUCACUAUGUGCGAUCCCCAUGAGCAUGUUGUCCAGCCUGCUGAGCUAUCUGGUCAACAUGUGAAGCUCUAUAUGCAUAGCUUCACCACGAAGGCUUGCUUCUUCUUAGCAAGAACCAGUCUGGUUACUAUGUUUAGUCUACUGGUUUAUCUAAAUAAAAUGUGAAGCUCUAUGCUUACAGCUUCACUUUAGGAACUGUCUCCUUUUCAGACUACUCUCUGGUCAUGUAUAAAUAUGGGAUCUAUUGUACUAUCUAAAACCAAUGUAAUUUAUAUAUGUUGCAUCUUCUGAAAUUC
This is a long non-coding RNA of Triticum aestivum (bread wheat), 5182 nucleotides long. RefSeq lists it as uncharacterized. The transcript has 2 exons. The record is from RefSeq and is a predicted model, not a curated record. NCBI's taxonomy places the organism in Eukaryota, Viridiplantae, Streptophyta, Magnoliopsida, Poales, Poaceae.